RNAcentral lists this ribosomal RNA (286 nucleotides) under uncultured bacterium. RNAcentral describes it as "partial 16S ribosomal RNA". It matches the Rfam family "Bacterial small subunit ribosomal RNA", at positions 28 to 322 of the family's 1533-position model. The record is from RNAcentral.
GACGAACGCUGGCGGCGUGCCUAACACAUGCAAGUCGAACGGGGUAGCAAUACCCAGUGGCGGACGGGUGCGUAACACGUGAGGAACAUGUCUUUCGCGGGGAGUAGCCGGCCUAACGGCCGGGUAGUACCGCGUACGACGAUUGGGCGGCAUGCCUUGAUCGUGAAAGACAGCAAUGCACCGAUAGAGUGCCUCGCGGCCUAUCAGCUAGUUGGUUGAGGUAAUGGCUCACCAAGGCGACGACGGGUAGCUGGUCUGAGAGGAUGAUCAGCCACAUUGGGACUGA